RNAcentral lists this ribosomal RNA (509 nucleotides) under Klebsiella quasipneumoniae. RNAcentral describes it as "bacterial SSU rRNA". It matches the Rfam family "Bacterial small subunit ribosomal RNA", at positions 1 to 492 of the family's 1533-position model. Lineage: Bacteria; Pseudomonadati; Pseudomonadota; Gammaproteobacteria; Enterobacterales; Enterobacteriaceae. The record is from RNAcentral.
UUCCGGAUCCGUUCGACAGAGUUUGAUCGUGGCUCAGAUUGAACGCUGGCGGCAGGCCUAACACAUGCAAGUCGAGCGGUAGCACAGAGAGCUUGCUCUCGGGUGACGAGCGGCGGACGGGUGAGUAAUGUCUGGGAAACUGCCUGAUGGAGGGGGAUAACUACUGGAAACGGUAGCUAAUACCGCAUAANGUCGCAAGACCAAAGUGGGGGACCUUCGGGCCUCAUGCCAUCAGAUGUGCCCAGAUGGGAUUAGCUAGUAGGUGGGGUAACGGCUCACCUAGGCGACGAUCCCUAGCUGGUCUGAGAGGAUGACCAGCCACACUGGAACUGAGACACGGUCCAGACUCCUACGGGAGGCAGCAGUGGGGAAUAUUGCACAAUGGGCGCAAGCCUGAUGCAGCCAUGCCGCGUGUAUGAAGAAGGCCUUCGGGUUGUAAAGUACUUUCAGCGGGGAGGAAGGCGAUAAGGUUAAUAACCUNGUCGAUUGACNUACCCGCAGAAGAGNCC